Molecule: unclassified non-coding RNA, 703 nt
Filed under: Hevea brasiliensis (rubber tree)
Lineage: Eukaryota; Viridiplantae; Streptophyta; Magnoliopsida; Malpighiales; Euphorbiaceae
Source: RNAcentral
GACAGAUGUGGCAUUUAAAGCAUCAAAGAACAUUGAUUGGGAUGGGAUGGGGAAGCUUCUCGUCUCCGACGAGGCUCGCAAGGAGUUUGCCUCCCUUCGUCGUGCUUUCGAUGAGGUUAAUUCCGCUCUACAGACCAAGUUCAGUCAGGAACCUGAACCUGUUGACUGGGAAUAUUAUAGAAAAGGAAUUGGCUCACGCAUAGUGGAUGUGUAUAAAGAGGCUUAUGACAACAUAGAGAUCCCCAAGUAUGUGGACACCGUUACUCCACAGUACAAGCCUAAAUUUGAUUCAUUGUUGGUGGAAUUGAAAGAAGCUGAAGAGAAAUCCCUGAAGGAAUCAGAGCGUUUGGAGAAAGAAAUUGCAGAAGUUCAAGAGUUAAAGAAAAAGCUCAGCACCAUGACUGCUGAUGAGUACUUUGAGAAGCACCCUGAGCUCAAGAAGAAGUUUGAUGAUGAAAUCCGGAAUGACUACUGGGGCUAUUGACCAUAUUGGCAAUUUAUGGCAGCAAAUGAAACCUCUGCCCAAAAAAUUAUGAACUCAGCAUGUUACUGUUCUUUUGGCAAUAACAGUUACCAACAAAUUAUUUCCUUGUAAUCUGGUCGCUCACAGUUCGUAGAAUUUGAGCUUCUAUGAUGUCAAUGGAAAACGCUGAGAGUUCCAUCUCACAAGCAGAAUCAAAUUUACAGGAUGAUGCUUUGUUCA